GGAUCACAAAAGCUCAUAUAUUAACUAUACAAAUUCCUUUACAUUUACAAAAUGGCUCAAAUAAAUUAUUUUCUAGUCGCUUCCCACCCACUGGUCCAGCCUAUUCUUCUAUGACAUCUUCUAAACAUGCUUAUGUUACAUUGUCUGCAUCUAGAAAAACAGAGAAAGCAAGGGUGAGUACGACAAGUCAUACUCAGCAAGUAGGUACUUCACUAUUCAACAAAGAAGAAUAGUAUGGUAGUGUAUCUCAACAGAUGAACUUGAUCCAUAGGAUAAACAAGGUAAUAAUCAUCGGAACAUAUUUUGGUGGAAAUGGACAAAAGAACAUAUAACUAGAUUUAAUGGAAACAACCAGGAAUUUAUUGGCGUCACACAUGACCGCAAGCUUCCCAACCCGGGAGUUACAGAGGUGAAAUUUCACACUUUUACGCUCUUAAGAGGGGUACUCCGACGUCGACAGCCUCGACUAGAAUCACACAGGUUCCAGAAGAGCAGAGCUCUUUAUUCCCCCAAGAACCGACCACUCGACUUACUAGUGUUGAUCGCUCCUACGGAUCCAUCAUCGACACGCUUCCGAACGAGUGCCGUUCUUAGCGGAGAACUCAGACAGUCCCAUACCUGAACUGUGACCGGUACAAUACGUUUGCCGUCGUGACACCAAUAUAGAUGGAUGUGUGUUUAAAUCAAAUAAUAGGAUCACUCAAAUACCAGUCAAAGACAAAACACUCAUGACUUUUCGUGAGUUCCUCCAAAAUACUCGGAUUCCAUCAACAAAUGGAUUAUGAGGACAACACAUCCCUUAACAAAGGAUCAACAAAGAUCAAGGUGCAACAAUAUAAUCAAGUACUCAAGGAAGACAACAAUAAGGCAUGCAGGGAGUUUAGCAAAGCAGCUACUUGCCUUAGAUAACAAGAUUCCUCCUUGGAGAUAAUAUUCUCCUAGCAAAUAAAUCCAUCAAUGUAUAAUCCAAUAGUCGUACAUAUACUAUACUAAUAUUCUCCGGACACACGGCUCAGUUCUUCACUCCAGCAGCACCUAUACGCCCCAUAUAACUCCUCCAUGUCUUGUCUCUCUCUCACUCACACGCUCUCUCUUCUUCUCACUUCUUUCGUUCUCUAGUAGAUGGUUUGAAGCUGCAACAACCAGCAGCAGGAGGUCCUAUUUAUAGGGUUGAUUGUGGGUUGAAAGCUAGCAAAAUAUCGCAGCCGCAGUGACCCUUCCAGCUGACCUUUGGAGCUGGUAAAAAGAUUUGGCUGCUGCCCCUACAACUAGUGCAAAGGCCUAAUCAACCUGGUCACCAUAGGAAGAGUCCACGUAUAGGACUAGAAUGUCCAAGAGACUACAUGCAUGCCACGCCAACCUCCAGGUACACAUAGAUUUUUACUUAGCUAGCAAGGACAGUACAUACGUGUGCAUUCUCAUUAUUACAUGCAUGCACCUAGUUGAAUAUCUACCGGUCUAUCAUUUGUACCUGGUCCAAUUCCAUCUAUUCAAAUGCCAUGUUAACCCCCUUAUAGUUAUCUACUACCACAUACAAACACCACCAUGUGAGUGCAAGGAUGCUAGACUCACGUGCACAAAUGCACACCCUAUCUGAUUGUGUGGUUAUUCCAUCUAAUUUUUAUUGCAGGGAGAAAAAUGCAUGUCUAUUAUAUUUCUUUGAAACAGUGCUCAAUCAUUUAUUUAAACAAAUAAUAUAGAUUUAAUUAUUCAUCUUAACUUAAGAACAUAAAAUAAUAACCCUAAAAAUCUGGGUUAUUACAUCUUUCCCCCCUUAUAAGAAUUUCGUCCCCGAAAUUCAACACUAACAUCUUUUUUUGGGGGAGUCAAAUUCCCUCCAAUCAUAUUUGGGACAAUUUAUUUGAUGCAUGCUCAAUAAUUACUUAGAAAUAAUGCAACCAAGAUUUGCAAUAUUUUCUAUAAUUCAUAGAUAUAUCUGCUAUAACAUAAGUUGGUAACACUAAACAUUUUAUUUGGUAAGGUCAUUAACAAACAUUAACAACAAGGAUAGAUGGUGAUAUAGUAAUUGUCCCAUUACUAGAAAAAUAUCACCGGUUGUCUUAAACAAGAAAAUCUACACAAAUAACAAGUCAUGAAUUAAUCUAGCAAAAUGUCUAUUUAUUUCCCAUGCAUCCUCAAAUUUCACCAAUAAUAUGUACGCUAUAUUUUUUAUUUCCAUGGAUAUCUGUCAACAAUAUUCGUGAGUAACAACACACAAACUAGUUGAGACAAGAUAUGAAAAUAAAAUAUUCAUACUUAUCACACAACACAAAUAUAUUCGACGAUCUACCCGUUUAUCCCAACGCAACCUAAAACCUAGAGCUCUGAUACCACUUUAACUGUCACGCCCCGAGACCGGGCCUAGGCGAGACAGCCGCCGCGCGCCUAUAGACCAGGGGCCUAUAGUCACGCAAGGCGUGAUUAAGCAGGCAUAAACCAACAGUGGAUCACAAAAGCUCAUAUAUUAACUAUACAAAUUCCUUUACAUUUACAAAAUGGCUCAAAUAAAUUAUUUUCUAGUCGCUUCCCACCCACUGGUCCAGCCUAUUCUUCUAUGACAUCUUCUAAACAUGCUUAUGUUACAUUGUCUGCAUCUAGAAAAACAGAGAAAGCAAGGGUUAGUACGACAAGUCAUACUCAGCAAGUAGGUACUUCACUAUUCAACAAAGAAGAAUAGUAUGGUAGUGUAUCUCAACAGAUGAACUUGAUCCAUAGGAUAAACAAGGUAAUAAUCAUCGAAACGUAUUUUGGUGGAAAUGGACAAAAGAACAUAUAACUAGAUUUAAUGGAAACAACCAGGAAUUUAUCGGCGUCACACAUGACCGCAAGCUUCCCAACCCGGGAGUCACAGGGGUGAAAUUUCACACUUUACGCUCUUAAGAGGGGUACUCCGACGUCGACAGCCUCAACUAGAACCACACAGGUUCCAGAAGAGCAGAGCUCUUUAUUCCCCCAAGAACCGACCACUCGACUUACUAGUGUCGAUCGCUCCUACUGAUCCAUCAUCGACACGCUUCCAACGAGUGCCGUUCUUAGCGGAGAACUCAGACAGUCCCAUACCUGAACUGUGAUCGGUACAAUACGUUUGCCGUCGUGACACCAAUAGAGAUGGGUGUGUGUUUAAAUCAAAUGAUAGGAUCAUUCAAAUACCAGUCAGAGACAAAACACUCAUGACUUUUCGUGAGUUCCUCCAAAAUACUCGGAUUCCAUCAACAAAUGGAUUAUGAGGACAACACAUCCCUUAACAAAGGAUCAACAAAGAUCAAGGUGCAACAAUAUAAUCAAGUACUCAAGGAAGACAACAAUAAGGCAUGCAGGGAGUUUAGCAAAGCAGCUACUUGCCUUAGAUAACAAGAUUCCUCCUUGGAGAUAAUAUUCUCCUAGCAAAUAAAUCCAUCAAUGUAUAAUCCAAUAGUCGUACAUAUACUAUACUAAUAUUCUCCGGACACACGGCUCAGUUCUUCACUCCAGCAGCACCUAUACGCCCCAUAUAACUCCUCCAUGUCUUGUCUCUCUCUCACUCACACGCUCUAUCUUCUUC
Molecule: long non-coding RNA, 3541 nt
Filed under: Triticum aestivum (bread wheat)
Lineage: Eukaryota; Viridiplantae; Streptophyta; Magnoliopsida; Poales; Poaceae
Description: long non-coding RNA (TAES_LNC005551)
Source: RNAcentral